GAUGAACGCUGGCGGCGUGCCUAAUACAUGCAAGUCGAGCGAAUGGAUUAAGAGCUUGCUCUUAUGAAGUUAGCGGCGGACGGGUGAGUAACACGUGGGUAACCUGCCCAUAAGACUGGGAUAACUCCGGGAAACCGGGGCUAAUACCGGAUAACAUUUUGAACCGCAUGGUUCGAAAUUGAAAGGCGGCUUCGGCUGUCACUCAUGGAUGGACCCGCGUCGCAUUAGCUAGUUGGUGAGGUAACGGCUCACCAAGGCAACGAUGCGUAGCCGACCUGAGAGGGUGAGCGGCCACACUGGGACUGAGACACGGCCCAGACUCCUACGGGAGGCAGCAGUAGGGAAUCUCCCGCAAUGGACGAAAGUCUGACGGAGCAACGCCGCGUGAGUGAUGAAGGCUUUCGGGUCGUAAAACUCUGUUGUUAGGGAAGAACAAGUGCUAGUUGAAUAAGCUGGCACCUUGACGGUACCUAACCAGAAAGCCACGGCUAACUACGUGCCAGCCGCCGCCGUAA
This 515-nucleotide ribosomal RNA is filed under the name uncultured bacterium. RNAcentral describes it as "partial 16S ribosomal RNA". It matches the Rfam family "Bacterial small subunit ribosomal RNA", at positions 28 to 523 of the family's 1533-position model. The record is from RNAcentral.